Arachis ipaensis is the source of this 101-nucleotide non-coding RNA. The record is from RefSeq and is a predicted model, not a curated record. NCBI's taxonomy places the organism in Eukaryota, Viridiplantae, Streptophyta, Magnoliopsida, Fabales, Fabaceae.
AUUUGGUUUGGACUCUAUGAAGCAGGGACGCUUCGCUGAGUUAUCGUGUCCGCGUGUUGGGCACAUUUCGGACACGACACUCACUGACACUCAUUCGACAC